RNAcentral lists this ribosomal RNA (252 nucleotides) under uncultured bacterium. RNAcentral's name for it is "partial 16S ribosomal RNA". It matches the Rfam family "Bacterial small subunit ribosomal RNA", at positions 524 to 776 of the family's 1533-position model. The record is from RNAcentral.
GACGUAGGGUGCAAGCGUUGUCCGGAUUUACUGGGCGUAAAGAGCGCGUAGGCGGCUCGUUAAGUGAGAAGUGAAAGCUGUGGGCUCAACCCACAAACCGCUUUCAUACUGGCGAGCCUGGAGUGAUGCAGAGGUGGAUAGAAUUCCCGGUGUAGCGGUGAAUGCGUUGAUAUCGGGAGGAAUGACCCGUGGCGAAGGCGGCUUCCUGGCCUGUUCUUGACGCUGAGGCGCGAAAGCUAGGGAGCAAACGGG